This 460-nucleotide ribosomal RNA is filed under the name uncultured bacterium. Its description in RNAcentral is "partial 16S ribosomal RNA". It matches the Rfam family "Bacterial small subunit ribosomal RNA", at positions 338 to 795 of the family's 1533-position model. The record is from RNAcentral.
CCUACGGGAGGCAGCAGUGAGGAAUAUUGGUCAAUGGGCGAGAGCCUGAACCAGCCAAGUCGCGUGAAGGAUGAAGGCACUACGGGUUGUAAACUUCUUUUGUCAGGGAGCAAUUGAGUCCACGUGUGGUCUUAGCGGGAGUACCUGAAGAAAAGGAAUCGGCUAACUCCGUGCCAGCAGCCGCGUUAAUCCGGAGGAUGCGAGCGUUAUCCGGAUUUAUUGGGUUUAAGGGGUGCGUAGGCGGAAUAUCAAGUCAGCGGUAAAAAUUCGGGGCUCAACCCCGUCGUGCCGUUGAAACUGAUGUGCUUGAGUGGGAGAGAAGUAUGCGGAAUGCGUGGUGUAGCGGUGAAAUGCAUAGAUAUCACGCAGAACCCCGAUUGCGAAGGCAGCCUUCCGGCGCCCCACUGACGCUGAGGCACGAAAGUGCGGGUAUCGAACAGGAUUAGAUACCCCAGUAGUC